AACUCAAUCUUUGCUUUCCUUGAACCCAACCCUAAUCUUAUAGCUACCCUGGGUGGAUCCAUUUCCUUAUCUGACUUUGGCAUUUUGAGUCGUGAACAGAGGUUUUUGAAGUAACCUGUCAUUUCUGAUCAUUACAACGUUAUCAUCAACUAAUCUGCUAACGUUGAAGUGCUUCAUUUUUACUGGCAACUAUGGGAUGUUGCAUUUUCUUUUGGGUUUGUUACUAAAUUAAGCAGGGGGGGCUAAUAAUAUUCAUAAAUGCACAUACUUUGUAUUGUUUUGUAUUGAAAUCAAUCAUUAUUACAGAUUGUACAAUAUUAAUAUUUAGAUAUAGCGCCCUUAUUUAUCAAGCUUUGGCCGCCCUUGUAUUGAAGAUACUUGUAUCUUCUGAACUACAAUCUUCUGUUUUGUUCGUUGAUGCUCUAUUUCAUUAUGUUUCUAUUGAAUACAGUACCUGGUAUGCUUCAUUUAAUGUUUGUUGUUUGUUUUAUUCACAUAAUCAGUUGUACAAAGUUA
Long non-coding RNA from Xenia sp. Carnegie-2017, 516 nucleotides. RefSeq lists it as uncharacterized. The transcript is spliced from 2 exons. The record is from RefSeq and is a predicted model, not a curated record. NCBI's taxonomy places the organism in Eukaryota, Metazoa, Cnidaria, Anthozoa, Malacalcyonacea, Xeniidae.